CCUACGGGAGGCAGCAGUGGGGAAUAUUGGGCAAUGGGCGCAAGCCUGACCCAGCAACGCCGCGUGAAGGAAGAAGGCUCUCGGGUUGUAAACUUCUUUUCUCAGGGACGAAGCAAGUGACGGUACCUGAGGAAUAAGCCACGGCUAACUACGUGCCAGCAGCCGCGGUAAUACGUAGGUGGCAAGCGUUAUCCGGAUUCACUGGGUGUAAAGGGCGUGUAGGCGGGACUGCAAGUCAGAUGUGAAAAUCACGGGCUCAACCUGUGGACUGCAUUUGAAACUGUAAUUCUUGAGUACUGGAGAGGCAGGCGGAAUUCCUGGUGUAGCGGUGAAAUGCGUAGAUAUUAGGAGGAACACCGGUGGCGAAGGCGGUCUGCUGGACAGCAACUGACGCUGAGGCGCGAAAGCGUGGGGAGCAAACAGGAUUAGAUACCCGGGUAGUC
This 443-nucleotide ribosomal RNA is filed under the name uncultured bacterium. RNAcentral's name for it is "partial 16S ribosomal RNA". It matches the Rfam family "Bacterial small subunit ribosomal RNA", at positions 338 to 795 of the family's 1533-position model. The record is from RNAcentral.